AUACGUAGGUGGCAAGCGUUGUCCGGAUUUACUGGGCGUAAAGGGCGUGCAGGCGGUUCGUUAAGUUCGAGGUGAAAGCUCCCGGCUCAACUGGGAGAGGUCCCCGGAUACUGGCGGACUUGAGGGAGGCAGAGGAAAGUGGAAUUCCCGGUGUAGUGGUGAUAUGCGUAGAUAUCGGGAGGAACACCAGUGGCGAAGGCGGCUUUCUGGGCCUUACCUGACGCUGAGACGCGAAAGCGUGGGGAGCGAACCGGAUUAGAAACCCGAGUAGUCC
Molecule: ribosomal RNA, 274 nt
Filed under: uncultured bacterium
Lineage: Bacteria
Description: partial 16S ribosomal RNA
Rfam family: Bacterial small subunit ribosomal RNA
Source: RNAcentral